Molecule: long non-coding RNA, 2392 nt
Organism: Salvia miltiorrhiza (redroot sage)
Lineage: Eukaryota; Viridiplantae; Streptophyta; Magnoliopsida; Lamiales; Lamiaceae
Exons: 2
Source: RefSeq, a predicted model, not a curated record
ACUCAUAAUAUUUUUAUUUCAUUGUCAAUCGAUUUAAAUCCGUUGCCGAUUUAUGUGAGAAAUAGUAUUACUAAUAUUCCUUAUCUUAUUUAAUCAUUUACCCAUCACCUAGCGUAUCUAUUAUUAUUAUUUUAAGUCUAAGGCCCAUAUAUAUAUGUAUGUAUAUGGUAUAUAGUUAGAUGAUUUAAUUAUUUAUGUCCUUAAGCCCAAACAAUUGUAGGCUUAAGUUUUAUGUUUUUUUUUAUUAUUAUUAAAGCCCAAACUAGAUACUUCAGCGUGAGAGAAAAAAAAAAAAAAAGAAUGAUUUCUAUCUGACACAGAUCAGAUUUCUGCCAGCGUCUUUACACUCACCGAGAAAUCCUUUCUUGCAAAUCUGCCCAAACCCUUCCUCUUCCCUGACACCUUUUUCACUCUUCUUCUUUAGUAACAUUCCCACCAGAACAUUCCCACUCUUUGGCUCAUCAAUCUGCAGUAACUCCAUCUCCCCCAUUCACUUCUCACUUUCACUAUUCUAUUGCUACUUCAAGAACUCAAGUUCACCAUACAUCUUGAUCAAGCAAAACCACAAAACACAAUCACACCAAACAAAUCCAAAAUCAGGUUCGUUCAUUCUCUAUUCUACAAACUUUACAUUUCUUACCAUUACACUUGAUAAAUUUCUGGAUUUAGAACUCAAAUCCUUAGGCCACAACGAGAACUUUGACAUGAUCUUGCUCACUGUAUUGCCUUGAACCAAUAAGAAAAAUACAAGAGAAAGGAAACUGAAAUCGAAUCUGCACCAAAAAUUUAAUCUUCUGCAAAGAUCAUAUCUUCCUUUUAAGAACAAAAUUUUCUUCUUCCUUGGACUAUUUGUGAACUGUCGAAAAAGGGGGGGGAAGGGAAUUUCUGUUUUCCUUUGGUAAUGGCCGGAGAGAAAAGGAGAGGAGGAGAGUCUUCUGCCCGGUGUGAGGACGGCGGCGGCACGGCGGCUUCCAAGCCGCCGAUUGCUCGACCAGGCCGUGAGGAAGGAGGAAGAGCAGGCUGGGCGGUAGCGCUGCUGUGGUAGAAACGUCGCCUAGGUGGCUGACCACCACAUGCAGAGGGAGAGACGACGGAGGGGGCUGGGCCGUGAGAGGGAGCACUGGAGGAUGGCGGUGGCGCAGCCGGAGGCGGCGCGCGCUGCCCGCUGCGGAAACAGCAGCGGCGGCGGCGACCAUCCUCGGCCGUCCGCUGCAGACGACGCAAGGGAGAAGAGGGUGAGGGGCGCGAGGUGGCUGGCCAUUGAUGGCUGACGGCGAGGCCAGGGCGGCGCGGCCUAAGGCCGAGCGCCGCUGACGCGGCAGAAAUGGAGCAGGCGGCGGCGGCGCUCUUCGGCCGCCUGGUGAGCGGAGGAGACGGAGGAGGAGACGGUGGUGAGUGAGGGAGGCUUCAGAACCGGCGAUCCUCGUCGGGGAUGGAGCGGGCGGCGGCGGCAGAACUUGAGAAAGAAACGGCGAAGGAUUCUGGAGAGAGGGGACGAAAGCUUGGGUUUGAAGAGAGAGAGAAAUCUUGUUUUAUCAUUUCUUUAUUUUUAGGGCUUAUUUUCCUUUAAAAUUUGGGCUUAAGUCAUCUUGGGCUUUUCUUUUCUUUUCUUUUCUUUUCUUUUCUCUUCUUUUUCUCUAUGGGCCGAUUUUAUUGAGCUGAUGGGCUGAUUUUAUUAAUUUUAAAUGGGUGCUACAUUCUUAACACAAUACUUGGGCUGCAUUUUCAAUAACAAGUCUUUAAAUUAUUUUCUUUGGGCUUUAGUUGUUACUUUGGGCCUGUAAAUGUUUUAAUAAAUUUAUUAUUUUUUCUUUGAUGAAUAAGAUUUUAUAUUUUCUUUAAUGGACUAAUAAUUUUUAGAUUUAGUAUUAAUUAUAUCUAUUAAGUUAUUAAUUAUGUAUUAAAAGUUUAUGGAUUCACUUAAAGAUAUUAUACAAAUUCUUAUUCGGGCAAAGUGUAUCAAUAGUUAGCAAUCCCCAUAUUUGUUUAGAAGUUAGAAUAGCACCAAGAGACCUAUUAAGAAUAGAUUUCUUGUAGGCUUGAGGAUCAGGAGGAUUAGCACUGCGUUUCCGUGACGGGUUUACGAUUAAACUACAGGCUUUGCCUAUUCAGGUUGAUCAGUUGGUGCAGAUGAGGCUGAGCUGAGGCUAAGGUUCCACGAUGUCUUUUGCUUCCGCUAAUAACUAUCUUGUCACCUCAUCCUCCAUCCCUUAAAUUGAGAAUUUCUAUUGUGUGGUAUAAUAUUAUCUUGUUGGGCUUAGACUCUUAACCCAUAUUUCUUUUAAUGAAGCCAUCACUGAUUAUGAUCAGAGUCACGAAACUAAACUUAUGCGAUCCUGAGUUCGAAUAUUGUCAUUUGAUUAGCAUCUCUUAAUGCCUUUCAUUUUAUCUC